UACUUUAUAUCGAGUUGGACAAAGCCAUCAGCUAAAUUAAUAGUAAUUAUGAAUUAAUAAACUCCUUUGCCAGAUUAAUGUCCGCCACAAGCGGAAUCGAUACGCAUGCGCACAUAUACGCUUUUUGUGUGUGACAAUGGAGCAUAGUGAGUAACGCUUUGAAAGAGACUUUGAAAGUCCGGACUUGGCGACAGUAAAUAAUAAAAAUAGUACAAUUCAUUUUUAAUUACUAGUAUCAGUCUGAAGAGAGGCAAUAGUCAAUAUUGUGGUUAUGAAAGUGUGCAGAUUGUUUUUCAUAUUACAGAUGAAGAAGAUGCAGACAGCUUGGGGACAAAGAUGAGAGGCAAAAAAAUAAAAAAAGAAAAACUACCAAAACACCAGCAUCUAUGCCACGAACACCUCACGCUUCUCCCAACACUGCACUGAUUUCUCCCGUUAGUAGCCAUGAGAGUAUUUCUCCAGGCAGUCACCAUGUGAGUGCCAAAAGGCCAAGUGAGCAGAGGACAGCUCCUAAUGAUAGUAAGUUCAUCGCUUUUCACGUGAUUGUAAGGGUGUAAUCUUGGGAUAAGAACUUUGUUUAAUAUACAGCUCGUAUUUUUCAUGAUACUGGUGACAGGUUAUAUGUUUAUAGAAAUAUACGCUGAUAUGGACAGUCAUAUCCAUAAAACUAGACAUGUUAAAAAAAAAAAAAAAACAUUUUAAAUAUGUUAACACUAUUAAAAGUGGAUAUGUUACAGGAAUUUUAAAGUAAAAUUAUGAUGGAGAAACAUACAGAGAUGAUAACCCUACUGAGGACAAUGCUAGCCAGUAAUGGAACUGUUGAAGAUGUAGGCGACAUAAUUGAUCGGCCGUGCAGUGACGUUAGGGAGCUAGAGGAACUCUAGACGUUUGCAAAAGGACAAUGCAUACAGAAAGAACAUGGUAAGAAAACAGCAGGUUUUAUGAAAAACAAUUACGAAUUUAACGAUAUCGGUAGACUCCAUUUAUAUUCCUUAAUAUAUGUAAUUGUUUGUCUUUUCAGAUCAUCUACCUGAGUUCGCUAGGUGGCAGCAAUGCUGGGGACAGCAUCCGACAUAUGAUGAGGAAGUUGGGGACAUACUAGCUUUGGGCUCAAUACAGCCUUAUGGGCAGGAAAGGAAAGAACAGUUUGCAGGAUCUUGCCAUCUGCAGAAUUAUUUGCACAGGAGCACUUUGUUGAACUGACAAAAAUGUGAAGGCCAGUGAUGUGGAGGACCUAACAGCGAAGACGCUGAGAUAUGCACCUCAGCGAGGAGGAAGGGAAUGACAGUAGGGGGCAGUUUGUGAGCUGAAAAGCCUGACGGACGGCAGGAGGAAGAAAAAGAGAGCAGCAUGAGAGACACAUAGAGACGCACACGACCCUCAGAAACCGCAGAGCAGCAAGUGCUGCAGGGAGAGAGAAGUCGCCAUCUUUAGUAUAGUUGUUUUCCCCAUCGCAGGUUUAUUUACUUUAUUUUGCCUUUCUUAUUUUAGCUUAUUUUAUUCCGACAGCCCUUGCGGGCAAGUCGGUGAAGGUUACUUUCAGUUUUGUUUUCUUUAUUUUUCUAUUAAUCUGUUGAAACAAAGCUCUCUGGCUCCUUGUUUUGGGUUCAUUUCUAAUAAACACGG
Acipenser ruthenus (sterlet) is the source of this 1626-nucleotide long non-coding RNA. RefSeq lists it as uncharacterized. The transcript has 4 exons. The record is from RefSeq and is a predicted model, not a curated record. Lineage: Eukaryota; Metazoa; Chordata; Actinopteri; Acipenseriformes; Acipenseridae.